CAGAGCCCUGAGCAGAGACAUGGCCCGUCUGGUGCUGCCUGAAUCCUCCAGGGGCACCCAGCUGCUCUGUUGCAUGGUCCUGUGUCUGGUGGGACCAGGGUCAGUGGCUGCUGGAGUCACCCAGUCCCCCAGACACCUCAUCAAAGGCCUCGGUGGGGAGGCUGUUCUGAAAUGCCACCCCAUCUCUGGACACAACCGUGUGUACUGGUACCAACAGGUUCUGGGGCAGGAACUCAGCUUUCUCAUUCGGUAUUAUGAACAGCAGGAGUAUGGGAAAGAAAAUUUCCCCAACCGCUUCAAAGGAAAGCAGUUCAGAGACUACAGCUCCGAGCUGACCAUGCACACCUUGCAGCUGGGGGACUCGGCCGUGUACCUCUGUGCCAGCAGCUUAGACACAGCCCUGCAGGGCCCAUGCCUUUCUAGUAGGGAGCACUCAGUGCACCAUGUCAUCCACAGGGAGCUGAAGCUACUGGACCUUCCAAACGUCCCUUGCACGUCCAUUCUUCAUCUCCACGCCUCCGAAGUCAACAAGACCCUGGAUUCCAUCAUCGUACAAGGGCCUUGGUCCAUACCGUAG
Non-coding RNA from Phyllostomus discolor (pale spear-nosed bat), 577 nucleotides. NCBI's taxonomy places the organism in Eukaryota, Metazoa, Chordata, Mammalia, Chiroptera, Phyllostomidae. The record is from the annotation of a RefSeq genome assembly.